This 258-nucleotide ribosomal RNA is filed under the name Klebsiella pneumoniae. RNAcentral describes it as "partial 23S ribosomal RNA". It matches the Rfam family "Bacterial large subunit ribosomal RNA", at positions 1368 to 1629 of the family's 2925-position model. The record is from RNAcentral. Lineage: Bacteria; Pseudomonadati; Pseudomonadota; Gammaproteobacteria; Enterobacterales; Enterobacteriaceae.
AUCGGGGCAGGGUGAGUCGACCCCUAAGGCGAGGCCGAAAGGCGUAGUCGAUGGGAAACAGGUUAAUAUUCCUGUACUUGGUGUUACUGCGAAGGGGGGACGGAGAAGGCUAUGUUAGCCGGGCGACGGUUGUCCCGGUUUAAGCAUGUAGGCUGGUUAUCCAGGCAAAUCCGGAUAAUCAAGGCUGAGGUGUGAUGACGAGGCACUACGGUGCUGAAGUAACAAAUGCCCUGCUUCCAGGAAAAGCCUCUAAGCAUC